GUGCCAGCAGCCGCGGUAAGACGGAGGGUGCAAGCGUUGUUCGGAAUUACUGGGCGUAAAGGGCGCGUAGGCGGUCUGCUAAGUUCGGUGUGAAAUCCCCUGGCUCAACCGGGGAACUGCGCCGGAAACUGGCAGACUAGAGUACCGGAGAGGAGGGUGGAAUUCCUGGUGUAGCGGUGAAAUGCGUAGAUAUCAGGAGGAACACCGGUGGCGAAGGCGGCCCUCUGGACGGAUACUGACGCUGAGGCGCGAAAGCGUGGGGAUCAAACAGGAUUAGAUACCCCGGUAGUCC
Molecule: ribosomal RNA, 292 nt
Filed under: uncultured bacterium
Lineage: Bacteria
Description: partial 16S ribosomal RNA
Rfam family: Bacterial small subunit ribosomal RNA
Source: RNAcentral